GGGCAGAAUACAUCAGACUAAUCAGAAUGAUCAAUCAAAUAGUCACAUAACAAUCUAAAAUGUCGCUCCUAGUUGAAUUUCGACACUGUGUAGAGGACACCUCUUAACAGGUUCAAAUUCUGUAUCCUGUAAAGUUUUUUUUACAUUUUAUUCUUAUGGAGUUGGUCUGUAAUUGGCUUGUUAAAACUGGUCAAUGUUGCUGACGUUUGCUGUAUAUGGACUACACAAUCACCAUGGUCCCGUGGGAUCUCAGUCCUAUGGAUAACAGGCUAUCCUUGGUUGAGAUUCCCGUUGGGUGGUGCAUUUUGGGAUAGCAACAAAAAUGUCUUUAUUUAAAUCCUUCAAUGAUGAUCAAAUUUGGAAUGAUGCCAUAGAAACACUGUGUGACAUCACUGAUGACAUAAAUGUGCACAAAGUCACAAAACACUCAUCAUCUGACAAUAAUAGAUCUCAAGUUGCCAUUUUGAUGAUGCCAUUGCAGCAUAAUAUUCUGGCUAAAUCAACUGGUGAAACCAAUGGUAAAAUUGGAUACAAAAAGCCAAUAGAUUCCAAAAGCUAUAAUGAAUUAUAUGUCAUUACUAGCAGUGAC
Molecule: long non-coding RNA, 589 nt
Filed under: Androctonus crassicauda
Lineage: Eukaryota; Metazoa; Arthropoda; Arachnida; Scorpiones; Buthidae
Source: RNAcentral